CACGUAUAUGUAUAUUUUUAAACAGGACUAGAUCGAUCUAUUCCUAACAGGAAAGUGACUUUAUUGAGUAAACGUACAAAACAAUGCGCAUGUGCGUAUUGUAUACAAAUAUAUCGCUAGAUUAUCAUACGCUAAUAAGGCAAUAGAAUGAUAAGGCUGUUAUCCAGAUGGACCACACCAUUCGUCCGGAUUCGAACACGGUCUGUCAAAGUGGUAGGCUGUCAUCAAUCUCAUAACGAUUCUGGCAGUGAUGUUUUAAGGUUGCUCAAAUUAGUAUUCAAGCAUAGAUUCGAGUAACUUACAUAGAGAACUCAAGUGAUAUUCACAUUGGAAACAGAUAUCACUGGUUAGAAAUUAAUAACACUGUACGCAAUUAUAAUAGACAGAGUAGUGAAGAAGUUGAAGAAGAUGAUGAUGAUAAUAGCAUAGCCCCAAUAUCUCUUCUAGAAGAAUUGAUCGAAUCCAACGAAAAAUAGGGGACGUCGAAUAUUACGUAGUUGCAAAGAGAAUAUACGGCAAAUGGAAAGAAUUGGCACGUUUUCUGCCGCCAAGAAAUGUAUUUACGGAAGGAGAAUUAACAAUACUGCAAAGUGAUAA
RNAcentral lists this unclassified non-coding RNA (597 nucleotides) under Centruroides sculpturatus (bark scorpion). RNAcentral describes it as "uncharacterized LOC111627834, transcript variant X2". The record is from RNAcentral. Lineage: Eukaryota; Metazoa; Arthropoda; Arachnida; Scorpiones; Buthidae.